This 840-nucleotide ribosomal RNA is filed under the name uncultured Brevibacterium sp. RNAcentral describes it as "bacterial SSU rRNA". It matches the Rfam family "Bacterial small subunit ribosomal RNA", at positions 38 to 885 of the family's 1533-position model. The record is from RNAcentral. Lineage: Bacteria; Bacillati; Actinomycetota; Actinomycetes; Micrococcales; Brevibacteriaceae.
GGCAGGGCUGGUGCUACCAUGCAGUCGAACGCUGAAGCCGACAGCUUGCUGUUGGUGGAUGAGUGGCGAACGGGUGAGUAACACGUGAGUAACCUGCCCCUGAUUUCGGGAUAAGCCUGGGAAACUGGGUCUAAUACCGGAUAUGACCUCCUGACGCAUGUUGGGUGGUGGAAAGUUUUUCGAUCGGGGAUGGGCUCGCGGCCUAUCAGCUUGUUGGUGGGGUAAUGGCCUACCAAGGCGACGACGGGUAGCCGGCCUGAGAGGGCGACCGGCCACACUGGGACUGAGACACGGCCCAGACUCCUACGGGAGGCAGCAGUGGGGAAUAUUGCACAAUGGGGGAAACCCUGAUGCAGCGACGCAGCGUGCGGGAUGACGGCCUUCGGGUUGUAAACCGCUUUCAGCAGGGAAGAAGCGAAAGUGACGGUACCUGCAGAAGAAGUACCGGCUAACUACGUGCCAGCAGCCGCGGUAAUACGUAGGGUACGAGCGUUGUCCGGAAUUAUUGGGCGUAAAGAGCUCGUAGGUGGUUGGUCACGUCUGCUGUGGAAACGCAACGCUUAACGUUGCGCGUGCAGUGGGUACGGGCUGACUAGAGUGCAGUAGGGGAGUCUGGAAUUCCUGGUGUAGCGGUGAAAUGCGCAGAUAUCAGGAGGAACACCGGUGGCGAAGGCGGGACUCUGGGCUGUAACUGACACUGAGGAGCGAAAGCAUGGGGAGCGAACAGGAUUAGAUACCCUGGUAGUCCAUGCCGUAAACGUUGGGCACUAGGUGUGGGGGGACAUUCCACGUUCUCCGCGCCGUAGCUAACGCAUUAAGUGCCCCGCCUGGGGAGUACGG